This 207-nucleotide long non-coding RNA is filed under the name Capsicum annuum. RNAcentral describes it as "long non-coding RNA (CANN_LNC001129)". Lineage: Eukaryota; Viridiplantae; Streptophyta; Magnoliopsida; Solanales; Solanaceae. The record is from RNAcentral.
ACAAUCCUAUUCAUUAAACUAAGGACCAUACAGUAAGUCACAUACCAUUUGGAUUAUCAUACUGAUUCUACUCACAAGAUUAUCAUUAUACCAAUAAAAUUUCAUCCUCCUGGAGGAAUGCCUCUACCCUCUUUGUUUAUUAAAUCAAGUUGGGGAAUGCCUUAACCUAUUAUUCUAGUUUAUUAAAUCAACUCGGGGGAAUGUCUU